ACGGAAGGCAGCAGUGAGGAAUAUUGGUCAAUGGGCGGAAGCCUGAACCAGCCAAGUCGCGUGAAGGAUGAAGGUAUUAUGUAUUGUAAACUUCUUUAGACGCAGAGAAAUAAGGAGGUCGAGACCUCUGAUGCUAGUAUGCGUAGAAUAAGGAUCGGCUAACUCCGUGCCAGCAGCCGCGGUAAUACGGAGGAUCCGAGCGUUAUCCGGAUUUAUUGGGUUUAAAGGGUGCGCAGGCGGCUUUUUAAGUCAGUGGUUAAAUCGGGAGGCUCAACCUCAUCACGCCAUUGAUACUGGAGAGCUUGAUUGCGGUUGAGGUUGGCGGAAUUCGCCGUGUAGCGGUGAAAUGCAUAGAUAUGGCGAAGAACUCCGAUUGCGUAGGCAGCUGACCAAGCCGUAAAUGACGCUCAUGCACGAAAGUGCGGGGAUCGAACAGGAUUAGAUACCCUGGUA
Molecule: ribosomal RNA, 453 nt
Filed under: uncultured Porphyromonadaceae bacterium
Lineage: Bacteria; Pseudomonadati; Bacteroidota; Bacteroidia; Bacteroidales; Porphyromonadaceae
Description: partial 16S ribosomal RNA
Rfam family: Bacterial small subunit ribosomal RNA
Source: RNAcentral